GAAGGGGGCUGAUAGUACGGUAAGAAUAAGCAUCGGCUAACUUCGUGCCAGCAGCCGCGGUAAGACGAAGGAUGCAAGCGUUAUCCGGAUUUAUUGGGUUUAAAGGGUGCGUAGGCGGAUUUGUAAGUCAGUGGUGAAAUCUCCCAGCUUAACUGGGAAACUGCCAUUGAUACUGUGAAUCUUGAGUAUGGUUGCCGUUGGCGGAAUAUGACAUGUAGUGGUGAAAUACAUAGAUAUGUCAUAGAACACCGAUUGCGAAGGCAGCUAACGAAGCCAUAACUGACGCUGAUGCACGAAAGCGUGGGGAUCAAACAGGAUUAGAUACCCUGGUAGUCCACGCUGUAAACGAUGAUUACUCGUUGCUGAGGGGUAACUUUCAGUGACCAAGCGAAAGCGAUAAGUAAUCCACCUGGGGAGUACGCCGGCAACGGUGAAACUCAAAGGAAUUGACGGGGGCCCGCACAAGCGGAGGAGCAUGUGGUUUAAUUCGAUGAUACGCGAGGAACCUUACCAGGGCUUGAAAGUUAGGGAAUAACUCUGAAAGGAGUUAGUCAGCAAUGACCCGAAACUAGGUGCUGCAUGGCUGUCGUCAGCUCGUGCCGUGAGGUGUUGGGUUAAGUCCCGCAACGAGCGCAACCCCUACCAUUAGUUGCUACCAUUCAGUUGAGGACUCUAAUGGAACUGCCCGCGCAAGCGGAGAGGAAGGUGGGGACGACGUCAAGUCAUCACGGCCCUUACGUCCUGGGCUACACACGUGCUACAAUGGUCACUACAGAGGGCAGCUACACAGUAAUGUGAUGCAAAUCUUUCAAAAGUGAUCUCAGUUCGGAUUGAGGUCUGCAACUCGACCUCAUGAAGCUGGAUUCGCUAGUAAUCGCGCAUCAGCAAUGGCGCGGUGAAUACGUUCCCGGGCCUUGUACACACCGCCCGUCAAGCCAUGAAAGCUGGGAGUAUUUAAAGUCGGUUGCCGCAAGGCGCUGCCUAGAGUAAAACCGGUGAUUGGGGCUAAGUCGUAACAAGGUAAAGGGC
This 1029-nucleotide ribosomal RNA is filed under the name uncultured bacterium. Its description in RNAcentral is "bacterial SSU rRNA". It matches the Rfam family "Bacterial small subunit ribosomal RNA", at positions 461 to 1504 of the family's 1533-position model. The record is from RNAcentral.